This 388-nucleotide ribosomal RNA is filed under the name uncultured bacterium. RNAcentral's name for it is "bacterial SSU rRNA". It matches the Rfam family "Bacterial small subunit ribosomal RNA", at positions 28 to 418 of the family's 1533-position model. The record is from RNAcentral.
GACGAACGCUGGCGGCGUGCUUAACACAUGCAAGUCGAGCGGUAAGGCCCUUUCGGGGGUACACGAGCGGCGAACGGGUGAGUAACACGUGGGUGACCUGCCCUCAGCCCUGGGAUAAGCCUGGGAAACCGGGUCUAAUACCGGAUAUGACUCCAUGACGCAUGUUGUGGGGUGGAAAGCCUUGUGCGGCUGAGGAUGGGCCCGCGGCCUAUCAGCUUGUUGGUGGGGUGAUGGCCACCAAGGCGACGACGGGUAGCCGGCCUGAGAGGGCGACCGGCCACACUGGGACUGAGACACGGCCCAGACUCCUACGGGAGGCAGCAGUGGGGAAUCUUGCGCAAUGGGCGAAAGCCUGACGCAGCGACGCCGCGUGAGGGAUGACGGCCUC